RNAcentral lists this ribosomal RNA (677 nucleotides) under uncultured bacterium. RNAcentral describes it as "bacterial SSU rRNA". It matches the Rfam family "Bacterial small subunit ribosomal RNA", at positions 819 to 1502 of the family's 1533-position model. The record is from RNAcentral.
AGUGUUGGGGUUCCCAGUGCUGAAGUUAAACAUUAAGUUCUCCGCCUGGGGAGUACGACCGCAAGGUUGAAACUCAAAGGAAUUGACGGGUCUCCGCACAAGCGGUGGAGCAUGUUGUUUAAUUCGAAGAUACGCGAAGAACCUUACCAGGUCUUGACAUCUUCUUGAUCACUCUAGAGAUAGAGUUUCCCUUCGGGGCAAGAAUGACAGGUGGUGCAUGGUUGUCGUCAGCUCGUGUCGUGAGAUGUUGGGUUAAGUCCCGCAACGAGCGCAACCCCUAUUGAUAGUUGCUAACAUUUAGUUGAGGACUCUAUCGAGACUGCCAGUGAUAAACUGGAGGAAGGUGGGGAUGACGUCAAAUCAUCAUGCCCCUUAUGACCUGGGCUACAAACGUGCUACAAUGGCCGGUACAAAGAGUUGCCAACCCGCGAGGGGGAGCUAACCUUUUAAAACCGGUCUCAGUUCGGAUCGAAGUCUGCAACUCGACUUCGUGAAGUUGGAAUCGCUAGUAAUCGUGGGUCAGAAUACCACGGUGAAUACGUUCUCGGAGAUUGUACACACCGCCCGUCAUACCACGAGAGUUUGUAAUGCCCGAAGUACGUGGCCUAACCAGUUUACUGGAGGGAGCGUCCUAAGGUAGGAUAGAUGAUUGGGGUAAAGUCGUAACAAGGUAGCCG